Molecule: unclassified non-coding RNA, 251 nt
Filed under: Hevea brasiliensis (rubber tree)
Lineage: Eukaryota; Viridiplantae; Streptophyta; Magnoliopsida; Malpighiales; Euphorbiaceae
Source: RNAcentral
UAUGAUGUGAAUUCUGAAGGAUAGUUUUUGCAAAGCAACUCUAUAGGAGUAAGCAUCUUCUUUUCACUGAUCUUGUCAUAUUUCUGCUUUUUAGUACCAGCUUUCAAGCCUUGCCAGGGAAGGCUUCCUCUCAGAAAAUACAUAAGCACAUAACCAAGAGAUUCCAGAUCAUCCCUUCUGCUUUGCUCAACUCCAAGAUGUGUGUUAACACUAGCAUAGCGAGCUGUGCCUGUGAGAUUUUUGUUUUCCCU